GGAUGAACGCUGGCGGCGUGCCUAAUACAUGCAAGUCGAGCGAACAGACGAGGAGCUUGCUCCUCUGACGUUAGCGGCGGACGGGUGAGUAACACGUGGAUAACCUACCUAUAAGACUGGGAUAACUUCGGGAAACCGGAGCUAAUACCGGAUAACAUGUUGAACCGCAUGGUUUAACAGUGAAAGACGGUCUUGCUGUCACUUAUAGAUGGAUCCGCGCCGCAUUAGCUAGUUGGUAAGGUAACGGCUUACCAAGGCAACGAUGCGUAGCCGACCUGAGAGGGUGAUCGGCCACACUGGAACUGAGACACGGUCCAGACUCCUACGGGAGGCAGCAGUAGGGAAUCUUCCGCAAAGGGCGAAAGCCUGACGGAGCAACGCCGCGUGAGUGAAGAAGGUCUUCGGAUCGUAAAACUCUGUUAUUAGGGAAGAACAAAUGUGUAAGUAACUAUGCACGUCUUGACGGUACCUAAUCAGAAAGCCACGGCUAACUACGUG
This 498-nucleotide ribosomal RNA is filed under the name uncultured bacterium. RNAcentral describes it as "partial 16S ribosomal RNA". It matches the Rfam family "Bacterial small subunit ribosomal RNA", at positions 27 to 507 of the family's 1533-position model. The record is from RNAcentral.